AGCGAAGCGACGUCAAACCGAUAAAACAGCAGUGUAAAGUGAGCCGCAGGGCGCUUUGCGCGACAGCGCAAAGGCAGGCGGUUUCGCGUAGCGAAAGCGAAUGCUUUGGGGUGGGGUGACUGCGUACCUUUUGUAUAAUGGGUCAGCGACUUAUAUUCUGUAGCAAGGUUAACCGAAUAGGGGAGCCGGAGGGAAACCGAGUCUUAAUUGGGCGUUAAGUUGCAGGGUAUAGACCCGAAACCCGGUGAUCUAGCCAUGGGCAGGUUGAAGGUUGGGUAACACUAACUGGAGGACCGAACCGACUAAUGUUGAAAAAUUAGCGGAUGACCUGUGGCUGGGGGUGAAAGGCCAAUCAAACCGGGAGAUAGCUGGUUCUCCCCGAAAGCUAUUUAGGUAGCGCCUCGUGAAUUCAUCUCCGGGGGUAGAGCACUGUUUCGGCUAGGGGGCCAUCCCGGCUUACCAACCCGAUGCAAACUGCGAAUACCGGAGAAUGUUAUCACGGGAGACACACGGCGGGUGCUAACGUCCGUCGUGAAGAGGGAAACAACCCAGACCGCCAGCUAAGGUCCCAAAGUCAUGGUUAAGUGGGAAACGAUGUGGGAAGGCCCAGACAGCCAGGAUGUUGGCUUAGAAGCAGCCAUCAUUUAAAGAAAGCGUAAUAGCUCACUGGUCGAGUCGGCCUGCGCGGAAGAUGUAACGGGGCUAAACCAUGCACCGAAGCUGCGGCAGCGACACUGUGUGUUGUUGGGUAGGGGAGCGUUCUGUAAGCCUGU
RNAcentral lists this ribosomal RNA (773 nucleotides) under Salmonella enterica subsp. enterica serovar Enteritidis. RNAcentral's name for it is "partial 23S ribosomal RNA". The stretch from base 96 to 773 matches the Rfam family "Bacterial large subunit ribosomal RNA", at positions 572 to 1252 of the family's 2925-position model. The record is from RNAcentral. Lineage: Bacteria; Pseudomonadati; Pseudomonadota; Gammaproteobacteria; Enterobacterales; Enterobacteriaceae.